RNAcentral lists this ribosomal RNA (405 nucleotides) under uncultured bacterium. Its description in RNAcentral is "partial 16S ribosomal RNA". It matches the Rfam family "Bacterial small subunit ribosomal RNA", at positions 28 to 526 of the family's 1533-position model. The record is from RNAcentral.
GACGAACGCUGGCGGCGUGCCUAAUACAUGCAAGUCGACCUUAGUGGGGACGGGUGAGUAACACGUGGGUAACCUUCUAUAAGACUGGGCUAACUUCGGGAAACCGGAGCUAAACCGGCUACUUAUAGAUGGAUCCGCGAUGCAUUAGCUAGUUGGUAAGGUAACGGCUUACCAAGGCAACGAUGCAUAGCCGUCCUGAUAGGUUGUUCGGCCACACUGGAACUGAGACACGGUCCAGACUCCUACGGGAGGCAGCCGUAGGGAAUCUUCCACAAUGGGCGAAAGCCUGACGAAGCAAUGCCGCGUGAGUGAUGAAGGUCUUCGGGUCGUAAAACACUGUUAUUAGGGAAGCGGUACUUAAUCAGAAAUCCACGGCUAACUACGUGCCAGCCGCCGCGGUAAUUC